This 452-nucleotide ribosomal RNA is filed under the name uncultured bacterium. RNAcentral's name for it is "bacterial SSU rRNA". It matches the Rfam family "Bacterial small subunit ribosomal RNA", at positions 340 to 786 of the family's 1533-position model. The record is from RNAcentral.
UACGAAGGCAGCAGUGGGGAAUAUUGCACAAUGGGCGCAAGCCUGAUGCAGCCAUGCCGCGUGUAUGAAAAAGGCCUUCGGGUUGUAAAGUACUUUCAGUCGUGAGGAAGGUGUUAAGGUUAAUAACCUUAGCAAUUGACGUUAGCGACAGAAGAAGCACCGGCUAACUCCGUGCCAGCAGCCGCGGUAAUACGGAGGGUGCGAGCGUUAAUCGGAAUUACUGGGCGUAAAGGGCACGCAGGCGGUUAAUUAAGUUGGAUGUGAAAUCCCCGGGCUUAACCUGGGAAUGGCAUUCAAGACUGGUUAGCUAGAGUCUUGUAGAGGGGGUAGAAUUCCAUGUGUAGCGGUGAAAUGCGUAGAGAUGUGGAGGAAUACCGGUGGCGAAGGCGGCCCCUGGACAAAGACUGACGCUCAUGUGCGAAAGCGUGGGGAGCAAACAGGGAUUAGAUACC